Molecule: ribosomal RNA, 460 nt
Filed under: uncultured bacterium
Lineage: Bacteria
Description: partial 16S ribosomal RNA
Rfam family: Bacterial small subunit ribosomal RNA
Source: RNAcentral
CCUACGGGUGGCAGCAGUGAGGAAUAUUGGUCAAUGGACGAGAGUCUGAACCAGCCAAGUAGCGUGAAGGAUGACUGCCCUAUGGAUUGUAAACUUCUUUUAUAUGGGAAUAAAAUGUUCCACGUGUGGGAUUUUGUAUGUACCAUAUGAAUAAGGAUCGGCUAACUCCGUGCCAGCAGCCGCGGUAAGACGGAGGAUCCGAGCGUUAUCCGGAUUUAUUGGGUUUAAAGGGAGAGUAGGGGGAUUGUUAAGUCAGUUGUGAAAGUUUGCGGCUCAACCGUAAAAUUGCAGUUGAAACUGGCAGUCUUGAGGACAGUAGAGGUGGGCGGAAUUCGUGGUGUAGCGGUGAAAUGCGUAGAUAUCACGAAGAACUCCGAUUGCGAAGGCAGUUCACUGGACUGCAACUGACACUGAGGCUCGAAAGUGUGGGUAUCAAACAGGAUUAGAUACCCGUGUAGUC